GGGAAAGUAAUUACCAUGUAGUCUCACAUACUGCAUUCGGUGCAAUUGCUAUGUAUUUGGUUGAGAAAAUGAUCUUUAGAAGAAAGAGAUUCGUAAGUUGGGAGAGGUGCACACGUUCAGAUUCACGGAGGACGCAACACUCGCACGUAUGAAGAGAAAGUAGGAAAAAAGACAAAUAAGUACACGUCAGCAGACAAAGGUUAUAUGGUAUUUUGUCAUGUUUCACAAGUAGAGGCUAGACAAGUCUAAAAGUAUCUUAUUGUAGUGGAUCAAUAAAGGCUCAAACAGACAACCUGCGUUUGUUAAGAUAUUGGAC
This 316-nucleotide long non-coding RNA is filed under the name Lingula anatina. RNAcentral's name for it is "uncharacterized LOC106173592". Lineage: Eukaryota; Metazoa; Brachiopoda; Lingulata; Lingulida; Lingulidae. The record is from RNAcentral.